RNAcentral lists this long non-coding RNA (221 nucleotides) under Nicotiana benthamiana. RNAcentral describes it as "long non-coding RNA (NBEN_LNC026139)". Lineage: Eukaryota; Viridiplantae; Streptophyta; Magnoliopsida; Solanales; Solanaceae. The record is from RNAcentral.
CAUGUGGCUACAAAUGCUUUUUCUGGCCAAUAUUAUCCGACUAUUUCUAACUGUUUAUUUUAUAUUGCCGCACUUGCUAAUUUGUUUGUUGAUCUUAGCGAGGGAGGGGACAUUUAUGAACUUGCAAUAAAUGAAAUGAAAAAAAAGUUUAAAAAAUAUUUUUUUCCAAUUCCUCCUAUUUUUGGUGUAUCUGCUAUGUUAAAUCUAACUAUGAAAUUAGG